Molecule: ribosomal RNA, 217 nt
Filed under: Escherichia coli
Lineage: Bacteria; Pseudomonadati; Pseudomonadota; Gammaproteobacteria; Enterobacterales; Enterobacteriaceae
Description: partial 16S ribosomal RNA
Rfam family: Bacterial small subunit ribosomal RNA
Source: RNAcentral
AAAUUGAAGAGUUUGAUCAUGGCUCAGAUUGAACGCUGGCGGCAGGCCUAACACAUGCAAGUCGAACGGUAACAGGAAGCAGCUUGCUGCUUCGCUGACGAGUGGCGGACGGGUGAGUAAUGUCUGGGAAACUGCCUGAUGGAGGGGGAUAACUACUGGAAACGGUAGCUAAUACCGCAUAACGUCGCAAGACCAAAGAGGGGGACCUUCGGACCUC